Molecule: ribosomal RNA, 508 nt
Filed under: Globigerinella calida
Lineage: Eukaryota; Foraminifera; Rotaliida; Globigerinidae
Description: bacterial SSU rRNA
Rfam family: Eukaryotic small subunit ribosomal RNA
Source: RNAcentral
GGCUUAAUUUGACUCAACGCGGGGAAUCUUACCGGGUCCGGACAUACUGAGGAUUGACAGACAUCACCACGUCUUUUUGUCCUUAAAAAGACAAAAGAUAACAGAUCUUUCAUGAUUAUGUGGUGGGUGGUGCAUGGCCGUUCUUAGUUCGUGGAGUGAUCUGUCUGCUUAAUUGCGUUUCAAAUGUAUUUUUGAUUUAUCAAACGAGUCUACGAAGAUGUCUAUUCAUACAAGCACUUCAUUUAUGAUUUGUUUGGAAUACGACUCUUUCGGCUCAAUUGAACGCAACGGACGUGAUUGCAAGUCCUUGUUGAACUUCUGUAUAUAUCAUUUACAUUCUUAACUGAGUGUAUCUAAGAUAAUAGAGUUCGCUUUCUAUUGGUGACGGGAUCUCCAAUCACUUUCGAGUGAGAGUGAGUGAUCUAAUCCUUUAGGAAAACUCGGGCGACCGCUGUAAUACUUUCUUUUUAAAACAGAGGAAGAUUGCGGCAAUAACAGGUCUGUGAUG